This is a long non-coding RNA of Salvelinus sp. IW2-2015, 463 nucleotides long. RefSeq lists it as uncharacterized. The record is from RefSeq and is a predicted model, not a curated record. Lineage: Eukaryota; Metazoa; Chordata; Actinopteri; Salmoniformes; Salmonidae.
GUAAAGCCAUAUAUUUUAUAUUCCUGCCUCCUUUUCUCCUCAGUCUGUGCCRUCUGUUCUAAUGCCGGAGCCUGCUGGAGCAGAGCRGGCCGGAGAAACCCACCAUUCUAAAGGACAAAGGCCYUGCUCAUGCAGCUGGUCCUAGGGAAGUACAAUGAACAGGCAGCCCCCCACCACCUGGUGAAGGACCAGGCCUGCAUGGAGCUCUUCAUCGAGGCCCUGGGCACGGUGUCUAAACCCUACCCUGAUAUCCCCUGCUUCCAGAUCAUCGCCCUAUAACGGGCAUUCUACUCAGCCCUGUGAGAUGAGAAGGUCCAGCAGAGACUCAUAGGGGUUUGACCUGCUGGUGGAGAGCAGGAGUGCUGUCUGUGCCCAGACCGUUGUCAGUGUCUUCAAACGGAGUGCUGUGGACGGCAUGCUAGUGGCUAACGAGCUAGACCCGCAGGWGYAAGAUGCUGCAGAG